Brassica napus (rape) is the source of this 3050-nucleotide RNA transcript. RefSeq lists it as uncharacterized. The transcript has 11 exons. The record is from RefSeq and is a predicted model, not a curated record. Lineage: Eukaryota; Viridiplantae; Streptophyta; Magnoliopsida; Brassicales; Brassicaceae.
CUACGAUCAAUAAAUCAAUCAUCGUGACCUCUAACACUUCGUCUUCUCCGAUUGAAGAUCACAGAAACUCAGAUUUAAUCAACCCACUUCUAAACAAUCAAUUCUCAACUUUACUCCCCUCGAUCAAAACCCUCUUAAUGAAUUCGUUUUACCUCCCUCUUUUCAUCCUUCUUUAUAUAUUGUUUUUUUUUUCCUUUCUACAAACCAAAACCCUACAAACACUCUAAGCUCAAGCCAUGGCCAUGAAACCAAACGGCAAGUCACCAAAAAAAAACCUACAAACGCUCUAAGCUCAAGCCAUCGCCAUGAAACCAAACUGCAAGUCACCAAAAUAAGGGAGCAAUUAAUUUUUAAAUAUCGUAUAUAUAUAUAUAUAUUUUUUUUUUUUUUGUAAUAUGAAACCUAUUAGAGCUUCUUUAUGAUUUUGCGUUCCUGCUUUCUCCGGUCGAGGUCUGGUUAAAAGCAUGCUCAGGAAGAAUCCAGAACUCAGACCAAGCGCUUCUGAUCUUCUCAGACAUCCUCUGCUUCAGCCUUACAUUCAAAAGGUUCUUCUCAAGCUGAGCUACUGGGGGGGACGAUACAUUGCAACCAGAAUCUGAAUCCGCAAGGAGAAGCAGCUAUCCUCCUGAGCAAAGAAGGCGUUCUUCUGGCAAAUGUAUAAGCUUUGGUCCAAGAAGAGAAGGAAGAUUCUUUGUCUUCUGUUAAACCACUUCCUCUGGCAAGUUUAUAGUUGACCAGGAAAAUUCUUUGUCUUCUGUUAAACCAGUGCACACGUAUUUGCACCACCGCAUGCCAGUGGAUUUGUCUGCUAACAUCACUGGUAGAGUAACUGUUCGAAGACCAGCUGUUUCGAAAAAUUCAGGGGCUUCUUACAGAUCAGCCAGCCUAAGAGUGGUGGUCUGAAACAAGCUACAAACCAUUCGUAGAGCAUCCUUGCCUGUCUCACACAAACCUGCAAAAGGAACAAGAUACUCUCUCUACACCCCAAACAUCGGUAUACUCCAUCACCUAAACUCACCAGACGUAUCCGUAAACUCUCCAAUAAUCGACACUAUCAAGUUCGCACUAGCUUCAUAUGAAGAAAUGCCUUUCACUCCCGUUGUGCGCAAGAAGAAGAACAAAGGCUCCUCCAGAGGAUCCUACAGCCCACCUCCUCCAGAGGAGCUGCAGCAACCGCUAGACUGCUCAAUCACAAAAGACAAGUUCACCCUUGAGCCAGAACGAGAAACCAAGAGUGGCGGUGAUUUUUUCUGAUCAGAACGCGACUGCUGGAGGAGCGUCGGGCAGAGCUUCCUCAGGUGCAUCUGGUGACAGAGGUUUGACCCGCGGACAACGCGCUGAGGCGCUGAGGGAUUGCUUGAGUUCAUAGCGAGGUUGCUUCUAGAUGAGAGGUAUGAUGAGCUGAAUGUGUUGCUGAAGCCGUUUGGUCCGGGAAAGUGUCGCCUAGAGAAACAGCGAUAUGGUUGUCUAAGAGCUACUAGGUCACCACGAAACCCACUUACGCUACCGUCUAAUUCAUUUCUGGGAAGCUCCUGAGUUAUUUGUACAAUCAAAGAAUCAGUGUGGUGCGAUGCAUUUUUGGGAGGCCAAAAACAUUGCAAAAAUUGGCUUAGAGCUGCUAUGAUCAAGAUGGAGGUCGCUUCACAGGGUUCUCACGACGAAGUUAUUGCAUCCUAAUGAUUACGUUGUACCUAGGAGAUCGAUGUUGAGUUGGAGGCUAAAUAGAAGAAAUAUCUUCCCAGACAAAGACAUAAUUAAGAGUCAUGAAAUGAUGAAACUAAAGACUCAGCUUGCUUCACGAGAAAAUUUUAUGUCAAAUCUGCAAAAGCUCCUGCUAGAAUCGAAAAGAUAAAUUUGCUCCUUUGCACAUGUAAUAAUUUCAAUUAGCUUGGCAAGUCUGAUGUUUGGGUAAGAUUGUGUAUUCUUUAGUCUUUUUUUUUUCUUUUUGAAUUCUUAGAUAUCAUUGAUUACUGUUUUGGUUUUUAGGAGAAAGUUGUGGCUUCUGGAUCAACUAUUCAAGAAGCAUGUCUAUGGAGUGCGUGCUGGUGGUGAAAAGGUGUACAACGUGUUUCAUAACCAAUUUCUGGUGGCUCUGAAGAGAUUUCAAGUUGACAAGCAGGAACUGGUUCACAAGUCUGCUAAUGAGACAGUUAUGGCUUCAACAUAUACAAGAAUUAAAGCAAUACCCAUUGGCCAUAUUCGCCUCAUAAAUGGGGACAACCUAGACACUCAGACACCCAUGAGGUAUCCACAAUACCUGCUGGUGAAAGUCAAAGGAUUAUGUACUUACAUCUCCAACUUGAAGAAGGUGAGAGAUCCCGUAUUUAUCUGUGGUUCAAAAUCGCAGCCACCCUCCGAGGUAUAGAUGGAAAGAUGACGAGACGAGCCAAUCAGUGCUCUUGCUCACACUAUAAAUUCAAAAACACUAGGAGGUGUGUUCGUUUACUUGAAGAUACCAACUUUGUUUACUUCUGUGAUAUUUUCAUCUAAAGCAUUGAGGACUGUUAACUUGCGCUGGGUCGAAAAGCUUUUGUUGUUAUCUCAGAUCCGAUUGUUGCAAUGCAUGUCCUCCGAGAAAACGUUUCCUCAUCACAAGUGAAUUCUUGCUGAGAUCAAAGAGCUGGUUAUGAGGAAAGUGUUAGUACCAGUAGACCUUAGAUACUUAGAAGUUAAGAAGCAGAGCUGAAACUCAUGAUUCCCUACAUUGUAUAAUUUUAUCUAGAAGCUAUGGUCAAAAUAUUUAGUGCCUGUUCAGAGGAAAUAAUAAUGAAGUCUAAGAAACUCUUAAGAGAGAGAGAGAGAGAGAGCAGUCUCAAGCAGAGGGGACACCAUCAAAUUGGAUGUUAAAAUAAAAUUCUAAAGUCCCUUCACAUCGUAGGGCUAAGGUUUUUGAUUUUUGAAUGUACUCUUCACCAAGUUUUUAUAGUAAGCUGAUCCAUUCUUAAAUUUUUCUAUUACAUCACAUGCACUUUAUGAAAACUCUUUUUUGAGGCAGAACAUUCCUCUACUUUCUACUUCAUGUAUUGUGAUAUGGAAGUUUUCUCCAGCCA